Long non-coding RNA from Herpailurus yagouaroundi (jaguarundi), 1045 nucleotides. RefSeq lists it as uncharacterized. The transcript is spliced from 3 exons. NCBI's taxonomy places the organism in Eukaryota, Metazoa, Chordata, Mammalia, Carnivora, Felidae. The record is from RefSeq and is a predicted model, not a curated record.
GGGUUUUUGGUGGGGGUAUGGGCUAAAUGGGCAAGGGGCAUUAAGGAAGACACUUGUUGGACACUUGUUGGGAUGAGCACUGGGUGUUAUAGGUAGGGGAUGAAUCAUUGGAUUCUACUCGUGAAAUCAUUCUUGCACUAUACGCUGACUAACAUGGAUGUAAAUUACAAAAAAAGAAAAAGAACAAGAAGAAAGAAAUGGAGCCUGAAGACAGGACUGACUUCCUGCCUGCAAUCUCAUGAUAAAACUUGAGCCGAUGAGGCGUUGCUUCUGAUGGAUGAGCCAAGAAAGCGGUUUCUUGAGAUGGGAUCCUGUCCUGGUGAAGAGAUGCCGUGAACACUGUUGAAACGACAGCAAGGGAUUGAGACUAUCACAGAGGCUUGGUUGAUAAAGCAGUGACAGGGUUUGGGGGGAUUGCCUCCAAUUUUGAAAGGAGUUCAAAAUUGUGGGUAAAAUGCUAUCAAGCAGCGUCCCGUGCUAUGGAGAAGUCAUUUGUGGAAGGUCGUGGCACACUCCCCUGUCGUCUUAGUUUAAGAAAUUGCCACAGCCUCCCCGGCCUUCGGCGAGCACCACCCCGAUCAGUCAGCAGCCAUCAGCACUGAGACGGGAUCCUCCACCAGCGAAAAGAUUGUGACUCACUGGGAACUCAGAUGCUCUGCAGCAUUUUUCUUGUUUUUUGGCAGUAAAGUGGUAUGGAACGGAGCCCACGCUACCUCUCAGGUAUGCCUGUAGAUAAAACCGUAUCCGGUCAGUCCCCAAAGUGAGAACUUACGCCAGCCCAGAAAUGACAGGAAAUUCGAACAGGAUUCCAGCAAACUGAUCUGGACACAGAAACCCCAAGCCUGUGAGAUUUAUGGACCGGAGGAGGAGAGAAUUUGAUCCUCCAGAAGCAGAAACUGUACAUCUCGGGCCCCUUACCGCUGAUGUUAAAACUUAACACCUUAGAUCAUCGGGAGAAAAUAAUACUAAUUUCAAAGGGUUUCACUUGACCAAUAGCAACAAAGUGGACAAGACGAUGGCCUACACUUCACAUAUCAUACCUUAA